GCUGCUACCAGUCGUGUUCCAAUUGUAGGAUGUACCAUCUUUUGUUGAUGAUCAUUGAUUUGGUUCGAUAAAAAUGUUAUGUGAAGCAUGUCUAUAGUUGGUUUUUUCUCCUUCCAUCUAAUGGCCCAAUUUCUAUGAUCUUUUGUUUAUUGUUGAAUGUGAUGUGCUUUCAGAAGCCAUCAUUGAUAAUUCGAGUAAACUAACUAUGAUGUAAAAUAUGCCGCUGAUCAUUUUUAUAGAUAGCUGCAACAAUUCUCUGGUUGAGGUCCG
RNAcentral lists this unclassified non-coding RNA (270 nucleotides) under Hevea brasiliensis (rubber tree). The record is from RNAcentral. Lineage: Eukaryota; Viridiplantae; Streptophyta; Magnoliopsida; Malpighiales; Euphorbiaceae.